RNAcentral lists this ribosomal RNA (496 nucleotides) under uncultured bacterium. Its description in RNAcentral is "partial 16S ribosomal RNA". It matches the Rfam family "Bacterial small subunit ribosomal RNA", at positions 30 to 523 of the family's 1533-position model. The record is from RNAcentral.
AUUGAACGCUGGCGGAAUGCUUUACACAUGCAAGUCGAACGGUAGAGGGGGCAACCCCUCGAGAGUGGCGAACGGGUGAGUAAUAUAUCGGAACGUGCCCAGUCGUGGGGGAUAACGUAGCGAAAGUUACGCUAAUACCGCAUACGAUCUAAGGAUGAAAGCGGGGGAUCGCAAGCCCUCGCGCGAUUGGAGCGGCCGAUAUCAGACUAGGUAGUUGGUGGGGUAAAGGCUCACCAAGCCAACGAUCUGUAGCUGGUCUGAGAGGACGACCAGCCACACUGGAACUGAGACACGGUCCAGACUCCUACGGGAGGCAGCAGUGGGGAAUUUUGGACAAUGGACGCAAGUCUGAUCCAGCCAUUCCGCGUGCAGGAUGAAGGCCCUCGGGUUGUAAACUGCUUUUGUACGGAACGAAAAGGUCUCUCUUAAUACGGGGGACUCAUGACGGUACCGUAAGAAUAAGCACCGGCUAACUACGUGCCAGCCGCCGCCGUAA